RNA transcript from Bactrocera latifrons, 1476 nucleotides. RefSeq lists it as uncharacterized. The record is from RefSeq and is a predicted model, not a curated record. NCBI's taxonomy places the organism in Eukaryota, Metazoa, Arthropoda, Insecta, Diptera, Tephritidae. The transcript is spliced from 3 exons.
CAUCAAUACUACUGACACAGUGCUAACAAAUGAUAAGGCAGCAAAACAAUAUCCGGAAAUGCCAUUGUUUCUACUGUGCAAUUAAUUACAGUUAUGCCCGUGUCUUAUGCGAUUCGCCACGGUAGUUUAUGGGGAACCUGUUGAGCGAACGCGCCAAAAGUGGUUUGGCUUGGAAGAGGAAGAAGAUUGGAAGUAUGACUCGACGAAGAUUGUUGCUCAGCAAAGCAGAGAUCGCAAAAUCUUAGGAAGUAACCCAAGAAGCCACUUCAAAACGUUUAAAAGCAGCUCUGUCAAUUGGGUCAGGCACCGAAUAUUCAUGACGCCAUGCUCUUUAUUUGGUGGGAUAACAAGGAUGGCUCUAAAACCGCGUGAAGCCAUUAACGAGGAAACUACAGAGUGACUGCAAAAACACGUCUGGAAUUCGCGAUUAGCCACGAAGUAAUAACUGAUCAUGAUGAACAAGCACGGCCUCGUGUUACAAGACUAGUUAAAAUUUAUUUAGAGGAAGUGGCUUGAAAUUUUUAUCUCAAACACUUUAUAGCCCAGAUCUUGCUCAAUCUGACUACCAUUUGUUCGAUGCAGAAUGCUCUCACUGGAAUGAGGUUCAAAUCAGAACAGGCUAUUAAAAUUAGAUUGAUUUAUUCUUGGCCGCCAAGAUAACAAAAUUCUUUUGAAAUGUAUUUCAUGAUUUUCCAGAAGGAUAGGAAAAUUUUAUAGUUGAAGGGCAAUACUUUGAAUAUAUAAUAUAUGAAUGGGGCUUUUAAAAGGGACACCAAAAAAGUAGACCGUAGGGGACGGCAAAGGAAUAUUUCUCUUCAGUAAGUGAGACAAAGAAGUGCCCGUAGAGUAGAGAAUAUUCCUACCGCUAGCGCAUCGAUUGAGGAAGAUCCAAAUCAAUCUCACACGUCGUUCUCAAUUCCAAGAAAAAAAAACCCUAUAUUUAAAUACCCGUUAUAUAUUUAUAAAAAAAAGUUCCGAUUUUGAAGAAAAGAACCGUCCGAAUAUAGUUCUAGAUUCAAUAUUUUCAAACGAAGAGCAAAUAAAAAGUCGAGAAUGGAGUCAACAUGUUUUUACUGACUGUUUCCCUCUUCGGGAAAAAGGAAUGUUACACUUUAUAGGAAAACAAAGAGCUCUGACGAUGCUGUAUCAGUUGGUGUAGCAGAACAAUAAUUCGCUUGUUUCUGUUCUGGAAAUUUCUAUGUGAAAAAUGCACCUCGCUCUGAUCGAUUUAUCGUUGAAAAAGGCGAUGAAAUUAUGGAAAAGAUUGACCAGGACCGUCACAUAAGCAGCCAUGACAUAGCUGAGGAACUUAUUAUUCAUAAUCAAACGGUUUUGAGCCAUUACAAAAAGAAGCUCGAUGUUUUAGUACCACAUGAAUUGUCUGUGCAACAUUUAAUGGACCGAAUUAACAUCUGCGAUUCCUUGCUGAAACGUAAUGAUAUCGAACGAGAGAUAGGAGACGAAAAGUGAAUCAAA